Molecule: long non-coding RNA, 4123 nt
Organism: Catharus ustulatus (Swainson's thrush)
Lineage: Eukaryota; Metazoa; Chordata; Aves; Passeriformes; Turdidae
Exons: 4
Source: RefSeq, a predicted model, not a curated record
UUAACUCUUUUUUGUGGAUAUGUAAGAAAAUUGUUGGACUGUCCUGCUGUUUAAGUGAAUAAGGUCAAAUAGGGACAGGCCCUCUAUUCAGUCUAGCAAACAGCAGUGGCUACUAAUGAAUGCUUCGGGAAGGCAUGUAAAUAAUGUCUGGAAAUGUAGAGUUUAAAAGAACCCAGUGUUUUAAAAUGCCUUUUGAAUGGUCCUGGGACCAAGGUUAACAAAACUGCUAAAGUAGAUUUCCCUUUUUCUACAUAUUCUGCUAUUUAUUUCUUGUUGUUGCCACUUAAAUAGUGCCUAUAUUGUUUGCGGUAGUGUCCACAGCAUUAAUAUUUGAAGUUACUUACAAUAGCAGGUGUUAAAUGUUCAAAUUAAAUCAUUAUUUAGAAGAUGAGCUUUUUGAUAUUUAGUUUGUUUGAAAGCGUUCACAUAUUGUUACACAGCAUAGAUAGACUGUCGCUAUUUCAUGCUUCAGAACAGAAUAUAUUACUGAACUAAGAUAAGGGAAAUUUCUUCUGUAAUUCUGCUUGUGUCAUUGGGUAACCAUGGUUUUAUAAAACAUUUCAGCUUUUUUAUUAUUACUUGUGGAUUGUUUCAGUGAGGGUUUCUUAAUUUUAUUUUUUUUUUGUAAUUAGUAAUGCUGUACCAUAUUUCAUGCAUGAAAGAAAAGUGUAAACUUAAACACAAAUCCAAAAUGGAGGUCCUUACCAGAGCAAAACUGAAGGAGAAAAAAAUAUGGAAGUACUAAAGCAGAGGUUCCCAAGUUUACUCUGCUGAAGUUUGGCACUGACGUUGGUAUCUAAAGGACUGUUGGUGCCAGUGGUGUUAAUUUCUCUUCAUAAGUAUUUUUUAGGUUUAUAGGUAUUAUCUCAGGGCAGAACCUCUAUCCUACAUUCUUCAGCCUGUGAACCACCUGAAACCAGGACCCAGCUUUGUGCUUCUACCUUGCUUAGGGGUUCAUCACCCCCUAUUUCCCUCUAUCCUUUUGUCAUCUCUCAAAAUCUAUCCCGGUACAGCAGGUCCCCUUGGAACUGCUCUCAUAACAGUACCUGAUUGGAAGACAUUUGAAGUGAAAUGCAAGUGUGGCACUGGUUCUGAGUGCAGCUGUAAGUGCUAUAAUGUUCCAUGCUUAGGAAUAAUGUGCGGCAAGUGACUGGUCCCACAAACCCUUCUGCAGAUAAGUAAUCCUGUCAAAGGCAGUUGAGUGCAUUUGAUUAAGGAUUACAUGUGAUUAGUGGUCUGCAAGGUUAAGAGUACAACUUGUAUCAUUAAUGAGUAUUCACAUAUUAAUGCUGCUUUGAGCAGAGAUUGAACUAGAUGACCUCUGAGGCCUAUUCCAACUAGAAUGAUUUUUUGAUUAUCACACUUGUGUUAUGCAAAUAGAUACUUCCUUUAUAAAAAAAUCUGUUAAUUGGAUAAGCUAAACUCUGGUAAGUCACUGCUUAUUUUACCUACUUGCAUCAUGUUGUAGCAUGGAGUUGCAAAUUUGAUCCAAGUUACAGAUUUAAAACACUAAGAGGAAUACACCCAUGCUUUUUUGUGUAUUGCUUCAUGUUCUCGUAUAAAGAUUUAUGUCAGAUUGAAUUCCUUGUGUAGGAAUUCUUUCCUAGCAUACAGUUGACUUGUUCUAAAAUUAGUCCAGAAUAGAGUGCCUGAAAAUUUGAUGCUUUAUGUGUAAUUGAGGUGUGUGAAUGGAUUAAAACUUGCUCUGCCGAAUUCAGGUACCGCUAGUACUGAGACUACAGUAACAAAGGCAUCACUGCAGGUUAGCAGCCUAAGAAAGGCUUGAGGCCCUAAAAACUUUCCAAAGCAAGGACUCAGAAUGUGAGAGGGCAUUCUUAUAUUUAAAAAAAAUCCCAAACCCCCUACCACCCCAACAAACCAGCACACACACCCUCCCCAUUAGAAUAUACUAUGCAGAAUCUGAAUAUUAUGUAGAUGUUGAGACACAGCUGGAUCACUUUAAUAAACAAUAAUCCUUCUCAUGUGCAGGGAAUCAUGGAUUUUCUUCCUGUGUCUGGAUAAAAUUUGUAGCUGUUGAUACCUCUAUAACUGUUCUUGUUUAGUAUUGUUAAUUCCUUACUUUUAAGCAAGAGGUUGGUGGUAAGAGAGGAAGUCUCUAAACUGUAAAAGGCCAAUCACUUCCACUUGCAUGCAAUUAGAAAUGUUUUUAUGUAACAUUUUAAGCCUCCUAAUAUUUGAAUUAAUCUCUGUAACAGGCUGUUGUCAUGUCUUACUGGUAGCAGUGUAUUUCAGGAAAACAUUUGGUUGUAUGCUUUAUUUUAAAAAUACAAGGAUGGUUAACCUCACAAGUAAUGUGUUAAGGACCUGGCAGGUCUCUUGGGCUUUUAGGGAGUAUAGAAAGCAACUAAAAGAAAUAAGAGGUGCUAGGAAGGAGUGGAGUUACUUCUUUAUGCUGCUUGUCACCACAAGGAUAUUGUGGGCAUUUUACUCUUUUCAAAUAAUGUUGAUUGGAUGUUAUCUGAUUAUGGGAUUAGGGAAGCAAAAGACUGAAUGCUAGAAUAAAGUGCUGAAGACUCCUAUGGCACAAGGACUCAGUGCUAUUCAUUCAUUUAGUGGUUCUAAAGGAUGAAGUGGCUGAUCUGCUAAGAAGCAUGCAUCUCGUUAGGAUGAGAUGCUGUGCCAGAAGACCGGAAGCUGUCAAGUGCUGUACAUACUGUACUUUUAAACUGAACACAAGGAGCAGAGCUGGAAUUUGCAGACCAAGGACUCUUAUUUUAAUGCCACUUGAGUAGAUUUGAAUUCUGCACGGAUAGUCAAGUAGUUCCGUGAGCACAAGAUAACAACAGCUUUCUAUGCAGUUGCAUCUUGGAGGUAAUGAAAAAUACCAGCUGCAGCUGGGGUACUCGUAAUGCGUCUCUUACUUGUGUGCUUGUUCCCCAAUAACAAAAGCAUAGGCUGCAGUCUGUACUUCAGUUUGGUCUGUUUGUGGGUUGGUCUUCUAUAUCUACUUGCUCAGUACUUUGGAUUUCUGAAAUAUCUAAAUUCUUAUUAAACUGUAAAUGACUUUUCAAUUUUCCUUUUUGAUAAAAUUCAAAAUAAGGUAGUGGAUUUGAAGGUUAGAAAAGGCCAGGCCUAACCUAAGCAGACAUGUUAAACUGCAUUAAUCUCUUCUGUGUUUAGGAGUCUAAACAAUGACUGAGUUGCUUCUGGUGUUAGUAGACAAGAGAGGGAUGGACCCACAUAUUGAUAGACUCACGCACCCUGUUUAGUUCAUCCCACCUUAAACUUGCAGUGUAUGGCCUUUGGCAGGAAAUUGGACUGCAGGCAAUUUUGGUGAGGCUCUACAAGUCAUCAUUUUUGAUGCCAUUGUGGGGAUGAUGACCAGUGAUGCAGAGGUGGAACUGAAAGUUAAAGCAGUCCAGUAGUACACUAUGCUGCUUUCGGUGGCAGAGCUGUGAUUUACCUUGUAAUUUACAUUCAGGUGACAACUGCAGUUUCUUAAGUGCUGACAUUUGUAGCUGCAAUUAGCUGUGUGGUCUUGUUCCCUCACUUUCCCUCCUAUUGUAUUAGCACAGUGAUUUGUGCCAUCAUGCAGUGACUGGAAUCAGAAAAUUGAUCCUGACUUUGAGAGGGGUCUGUGGCAAGCAGCAAUUUCUAAUCCAAGCUAGUUCCUCACUCUAAUCUAGUGGGUGUCUCCACCAGGAGAUGGGAUCGUGACCCAAAGAUCAGAACAAGCAGCAGGAGGGUCCUCUCUCUUUGAACUGGCAUUUUUCCAGAAAUGAUCAUCAGAUUAUGCCUCUAGAAUCUGUGACUCAUCUUGCCCUCAAUUCAAUUACUUCAGAUGAUCUGUAAAUUUUCAAUAAUGGCAAUACAUUCAUUCUGCCAUUUGGAGGAGCCUGUGCCACAGAAUAAUGAUCUGAAGAAAGCUCACUUAUUUGCAAGGAAGAGUCUUCAUUUGGGAAGUAGCGCUGAUGCAGCUCAAGGGUGCUUUUCCAAGUCCAGACUCUUUCAGCAGAACUAUUAUUUUCCUAACACAACCUCUGGUACAAGGAUAAAAUUGGAUAAAGGAACAGAGUCCUGUAUCUGAAGAGUAAGAAGAAACCAUUUUGGUAGGUGUGGGUUGCUUGUCAGAAAUGCGUUCCAAAGCUUGAGUGCAAAGGAA